RNAcentral lists this ribosomal RNA (472 nucleotides) under uncultured bacterium. RNAcentral describes it as "partial 16S ribosomal RNA". It matches the Rfam family "Bacterial small subunit ribosomal RNA", at positions 28 to 507 of the family's 1533-position model. The record is from RNAcentral.
GAUGAACGCUGGCGGCGUGCCUAACACAUGCAAGUCGAGCGAACAGACCAGGACUUUGCUCCUCCGACGUCGGCGCGGGACGGGACAGUCACUCGUGUAUAGCCUACCUACACGACUGGGAUAACUUCGGCAAACCGGAUCUACUACCGGAUAAUUUAUUGCACCUCAUUGUUCCCUAGUUAAAUUCGAUAUUGCUAUCACUUAUAGAUGGAUCCGCGUUGGAUUAGUUAGUUGGUAGGGUAAAAGCUCACCAAGGCGACGACCCAUAGCCGGCCUGAGAGGAUGAUCAGCCACACUGGGACUGAGACACGGCCCAGACUCCUACGGGAGGCAGCAGUGGGGAAUAGUGGACAAUGGGCGAAAGCCUGAUCCAGCAAUGCCGCGUGAGUGAUGAAGGCCUUAGGGUUGUAAAGCUCUUUUAACCGGGAUGAUAAUGACAGUACCGGGAGAAUAAGCUCCGGCUAACUCCGUG